This is a non-coding RNA of Meleagris gallopavo (turkey), 8001 nucleotides long. The record is from RefSeq and is a predicted model, not a curated record. Lineage: Eukaryota; Metazoa; Chordata; Aves; Galliformes; Phasianidae.
UGGGAACUGCCUAUCCUGGUUUGAAGCGCAGAGUAAUUCCUGGUGAACCAUUAGUGGUAUCAAUGCUUUAAUUGCAGUGAACAUGAAAUGGAAAAAUAUCACCAAUCUGACCUGAGCAUUCUCAGAUACCUGCAGUGUCCUAAUAGUUACCAGUAUCAUCUUGAAUGCUAUUCAGUUUGUCCUCUGUAGACCACAGCUCUUAUCAGUCAGCUGGACCCUCUAACAUCAACCUUCUGUACACUCCAGUUUUUAUUUAUACCUUAAACACAGCCAGACCAGCUUUAUUUGAACUUGCCAAAGAAGUGGACUCCUGGAAGGUGUCCAAGUUUAUAUUGACUGGGGGAUUUGAUUCAAAUAUUUGUUUUAAAACUCUCCUGAAAAGAAUAUCUGGUGUCAGAGCCAACAUAACGUAAUAGCCCUAAUGCAUUGCCCUUUUCUGUCUCCCUCCUUCUGCAAAUUUCAAAAUGUUCUGCAGAAAUGUAUGAGUGUCUGUAAGUAUAAUCCUUUCUGCUUGGAAAGCAAAAAUAUAAAAGGUAACUUGCCCAAAUCUAUAGCAAGAUGGAAAAUAGAGCUGAAAGGCUCCCUAAUCCUGGAUGUCAGCUAAAACAUCAUGCCUAAAGCCAGAUGGUUCUAGGUAAAUCAAUGCUGGCAUUGCUGAUUCUGCGUUGAUUCUGUAUAGAGCUUUCUGUGUGUAAGAUCAACAGUAAUAAGACCCCUUUUGGCUUCAGGGAUUUACCUGUGAUGAGGUUCACUGCUCUGUAAAUAGAUUUACAGCCUUCCAUUGUGGAUGAUAUGAGUUUGACCCAGCUAAGGCAAAAUCAGAUAGCACCAUCAUCUUGUAGCUCCCCAUAAAGCAUCCAUUCCUUGCUAUUAGUUGUGAAGAAGUAAGCCAGUGUUUAAUAAGGGCUGAGAAAGUAGAGCCUUGACUUAAACUGAGCACAGCUGCUCGUUUGUUCCUCGGUUGUGCGUGAGGGCAAGCAGUGUUCUGGCAUGCUCUUGGUUCCCUAAAAGCACUGCUGAGGGAUCUCACUAUUUUAACAGGCAGGUCACCAGGCUCCCAAAGUGACGGCAGCUGAUGCCUCUGGAGAGCUGGCUGUUCCCCAGGCCUUGGGGAGAGCAGAUGCUGGGAAGGAUGCCCUCACCGUGGGAACCACGGUCUGAACCUGGAAGUGUGGUGACAAAUCAGUUCAGCUGUCUGGAGGGGAGGGGCUGGGCUUUAUUUACCUUGCAAAAGUGGUCUGCCAGGUGGCUGAGGUGGAUGAAAGCAGGGACUGUGGUGGUGGCUGGUCAGAGCUCCGAACUGAUGAAACCAAUGUUGGGCUUCUUCAGUGUAGAUGGAUGUGUGAGAUCACCUGAGAGUUGAGGAGUCACCUAUGGUUACCCAGAGGGACUGGGACAGCUUGCCCACCGGUGGCUGUAUGAAGGACCAGGUAGCCCAUCCCUGCUGAAGAGGAUAUGCUGUCAGUUUGCAGGGGUUGACAGCUGAUUUCCUUCCUCUUUCUCUUUGAAGAUCUCAGCUCUUCUUUUGUAGUUGUUAGUUAAACUGUUGGCCCAGCGUCUGGUAGAGUUCUCAAACUUUGCAGCUCGGUUGAUGCACAAUGUAUUAUAAGAUCUCAGGAACUGCGAACUCUUGCCAGAAAGUAAACAGUUAGGACAGAAGUACAAAGGGUAGCAUUUGCUUUAUUCUUUUGCACACAGAUAGUUGAUUGCCAAACAUCCACAUCAGGUUUGGGGCGUGAAGUUCUUGAUCUUAUGUUUGUGAUUUCAAACAAGAAGUACUCAUAGCCAACACAGUGUGAAACGCAUAUGUGUAUUUUGUUGUUCUGUGUUUCUAGUUGUUUUCCUCCAUAACCUUUUUAUAGUACUUCCAGGUUCCUCUUUGCUCUUCACAAGUUACAUGCAGUUUGCAUUGAGUUUGAAUUGCCCAAGCACGUAAGGGCAGGAGGCAGUGAAAUAGACCAGGCUGAGCUUUCUCUCAGUGGGAGAGCUUGCCUUGCUAUUGACUUUCAAAAAAAGUUUGUUUGAUUGUAUUUGUCUUUAGUGGUUGGGAAAAUCAGCACUGGAGUUGCUUUAAUUGGCAGAGGUACUCAACAGCAAAGAACAUGCUGUUUAUUAUGUAUGCGGAGUGCCGUUUUAAUGGCUACUACGAAUCAAAGAGGAUUUGUAUUUAUUUCAUUAGGUGUUUUUGACUAUUCCAGCCCAAAUUAAUGUAUAAAGAUUUUAUAUAAGCUUACUCACCCAAGAAGUGUUGAAAGAAUAUUGGUAAGGUUACAAAGUGAGGGCCAAAGUUGGGAAACGUUUGGAUAUAAGUAGUCUAUCCAGCUUACAUUCCUUUCCUUUCUACAGAUGCAUUAAGAUACAGCUCUGAUAUAUAAGCCUGUAAUAUAGCAUUUGAGUUGUGCUGAGGUAACCUACCAGGCCUUCAGCUUCCUUGCAUCCAUACAGACACUGGGCAGUGCUACCAUCUUCAGUCCUUUCUUUGCAGAAAUAAUAUCAAUCACAGAGAAGAACAACAAAAUUCCUGCCAAGGGAUGGUAGGCAUAUGGUGAAGCAUUCUCCUGUGAAGCACAGAUCAUGGGAAGAUGCUGUGGCAGAUCUGCCAGCCCUGUGUCUUUUCUUCUGUUCUCGGGUGGCAAUAGGGAUGUCUGCUUGGGCAGCUGAAUGCCACUUUCAGUAUCCAUUUGCUAUCCCACGAGUUUAAACACUGGAUCACAUGCAGACACUUAUGCUGAGACACCUAAGCUUGAGCUGGGUUGACUCCUGCUGAUAAUGUCAGAUUAUCCAAUCUCAUAUCUAUUUGUGCAAGAGGAGUCCAUUCUGGUUUUUUUGGAGGUAGUCAAUAGUGAAUGUUAAUCUGCCCAUUCACUGCAAAAUCACCUCAUUCCCAUCCUGUGAGAGGACAGUCUCUGCACUGACUCUACCUCAUGGCUGUUUCUUAAUCCCAGUUUCCAUUUUAGGGGUGUCUGAGCUCAGUUUCAAUCCCCUUGCCCAGGAUUAGAUUCUUUUCUCUAUUUCUGCCUCCCCUUGCUCCAGUGGUGAUAUUUCCAGAUGUGUGGCUGCUUGUUAGCUAGUCUUGUCAAACUCUUCCAUCCUCCUUCUCCUUUUUUACCUCUUGAUGGUGCCAAUUGCUCAGCUCCCAGUGCCAGUACCAUGGCUGCCAGUGUUUGUGUCAGCAUCCCCAUAUAAAGCAGCUGCAUUUAGGUGUUUUUUUGUAAGAACAGAAAUGUUUGUGGGGUGUAGUCUGUCCUGCUGAAUUGAAGCUCUUUGAUUAAAACCAAGAACAAGCUAGAAAUUUCCCACUUGAAGUCACCAUCAAAUUGUUUCUGCUAACUAAAAAAAAAAAAAAAUAAAAAAAAGAGUUUUUCCUGCAACGUUUUUGAGAAAUGGCUGAAAUAUUUUGGCUGAAGUUUCCCCAGUCAGUUCCUGUUUGGGGCAGAUGCAGCUUUGAAAAACUUCUGCUCUUUCUCAUUACUACUUGGCAAGGCUUAAAGGCAACUUAAAACAGGUUGUUAAAAUAGAAAUUGCCAAAUAGUUGAUUCAGAUGCAAUUCCAGUUUUGAAUAUGUGUCUGUAGCUGAAGCCAUAUAUCAAGUUUAUGACCUUCAAACUAGUUUUGUAAGGUAUGAGAGCUGCUGACUUGCACUGCAGCAUUCUGAGCAGCCGACACAGGAACUGCUCUUUAUGAUUUUUAUAAACCAAAGAACUUCAGUAGUGGGGAAAGCUUGCUGUGGAAUGCUCUGUAUUGUCCUAUUACCUCAUUUCUUCUAUGAAAAAAAGAGACAAAUUUGGCUUGAAAGCAUCAUUUAAGCAGCUGAAUGUUUGUGGUUACGUCUGGAGGAACUAGCUGAGCUGGUGAUUGCUUGCAACAACAAAUUAAGUUUCUUAAAAUUGUGUGCAGUGACACUUGUUGCCAGUGAGCAUAUUGUUCAUGGGUGAGUUGAGAGAGAGACAGAAACAUUAAGAUAGCCCCACACUGCUGUACUUGUUUGUUUUUUUUUGGAUAGAAAUGUCUCCAGUUCUUUCCUUCUUUGCGGUGUUCAUCUGCCAGCAUUGGUGCUAGCACCUUCAAAGGCUUCACACUACAAGGAUCACGAGAACAUUUGUGACACCCUGUAUACCGAGCCACAAGCGCACAACGGUCCACAUCAUAUUUCACAGCAUCUAAUAACAAAGCGUAGACCUGUCACAAAAAACAAAAGCUGCAACCAUGAUCUGCCACAGGAAAGGGGCUGGAAUCAUCAAGUAUGCUACCAGUUUUUUAUUUUGAACUACACUUUCCUGGCAGGAAGAAUUUGUUAGAUAAAUUUCCCAGGUGGCCGUGGAAAAGGGACCACACAUCAAAAGAUGAAAAGCAAACAACCAAACAAAGCACUUUCACACUGGACCUGGAAGGAAGGCAGAAGAGGAAAUUCUUCCUGUCCCAAAGCUCUCCAUUUGUUUUGACCAAAGUUCUCCAUUUGCUUUAACCUUGAGCAUAUGAAUCACCUCUUCUUCUCCCAGUGAUCUUCUAUACAGCCCAUGCAAGAGCAUUACUUUUAUCCUUUCGGUACAAGAGCUUCAAACUCUAGCACUUACCAAAAUAAACCUAUUUAUUUUUGCAAAACUAAAGUGAGUAAUGUGUUCAAGAGGAAGGUUAGCCAUGUAAUAACAGAUGAUGCUGGUGUUCAGUUUUCUCUUGAUGGUUCUGUGUGAGCCAGCUUUGUCUUGGAAAACCACAGCUAGUGUUAUCAAAGGCAGGUGGGUAAAGGCUAUUGGCUUGGGUGUUAAGCUCCAUGUUAACUUUAAAUGUAGGCAGUGGUCACUUCCAUCCUUGACUUUGAAAUCCGUCAUUUUGAAAUGGCAUACUGCAGGCAGUUCUGGGGCCUCUGUUUUAAUCUCCUGGUUCCUUUCUGCAUCUCUUCCUUCUGCUCUAGAGAAAAUAGAUCAAAAUAGCUCAGUAUCUACCAUGGCUCGAGGUGCUGUCACCACACUACACAAAAAUCUGACUCCAUAGACGAUCUCCCAAGAGCACUGAAACAUUAUGCUGCAAAGUUUAAGAUGUUUCCAUAUCCCUUUCCUUGAAAUUGUGCCUGCCAAUAAAACUUCAGUGGAAAUCUGUUCUGAAGCUCUGAUGAGAGGCAAUUGGGCUCUGACACUGAAGAGAACGUUCUGCAGAGAAAAAUUCUGCAUGAAAGCCGUGGCUGGGGUGGAAGGCAGCUUAUUACAUGAGCCAGCAUGCUGGCAGCACCGCAGCUGGAGGUCCCCACGGACCCUGCAGUCUGUUAAAUGUUGGUAUUUCAGGUGUGUGGGACUGGAAGGCCAGGGGACUGGGAAAUUUGCUUUUCACAUUUCUUUGCAAUCAAGACGAGAAUCAGUGGUCCUGGAGAAACAAAUACCUCAAGCCCUGUGCAGUUAAGAAUGUUUAUUUUGUUUCAGGAUGUUAUAACUGGUGUAUUAUGCCACAUUAGCAGUGUUUUAAGUCUGAGUGCUACGAGAGGGCAAUCCAAGAGUAUUCUGGAGCUGUAUUACUCCUUUUCCAAAACAGCUGCCACCUUGUGCGUUCUCUAAAAGAGCGCUGCCAACAGUAAGCGCACAUAGCAAUUAAUGUAUUCUAAAAUACAGUUCUCAGAGUAUUUUAAUGAACUGUAGGGGUGGAUUGUCUUUGGCAGGAAGCACUGCAGAGGUAUCCAGCAGAAAGGGCAAGGGUGAAAGGCUUGGAGUGGUUUGCACAGCCCUCAGCCGGUGGCUGUUUGUUGAUCCAGCGGUGCUGUUUGUCACACUCAGUGCUGGUGUCCCACCAAAUGCCACCCCAGGGUUCCUAAUGCUGCCUGUUUAGUGCUGUGCUAUCAUCGCUGCAUCCAAAUCACACCAACUGGUGCACGUUGAUACAUGCUGUUCUGUAAGAAGGCACUGUGACUGAAUAGCACGUAGUCUAAAGAAGCAGAAAAUGAUGCUUUCAAUUACAGAAUGCUCCCCAAGAAACAAGAUUUAGUUCUCCAACCUUCCAAACAGGUGAUGCUGCUGUUCUAGAGCCUCAUUCCUGCUCAAAAGCUCACCUGGCACUGGUAGCUGCAGGGUGCCUCGUGGGAGCUCUGCAAGUUUGGGUUUAAUUCUGGUUAAGCAAACUACCUCUCCAAUUCUAAAGACAGAGUUGAGCAUUCUGGUCACUGCCGUAUUUUUUUCAACAUAAUUAUGUUUUUGGUUAGAAGUGAUGACUGAGAUGAAAUCGGGGCAUCCUUGCUGACUUCUGUUUUUCUCCAGGGCUGUAUCUUCAGCUGUGCUGCUUGGUUUUAGCAAAGUGGGGUGCAGCUGGGAAUGAGUCUUAGGUGUCCAUGACUAAGAAAGCCAAUGAAAACAUUCUCAAUGGGAUUUUAAUAUCAGCAGACCUUAUAAUUACAAAUACUGUCCUGGGAACAUUAAAACAAGUGCCAGGAAGAUGCCCAUAAAGCAAUCAGGUUGGCUGAUUGGAUUUCAUCUGUAGAUAACGAGCAGUAGCUGUUGUGUAGAAAAUUGAAAGCUUGAAAGACAGAAGAGCUGGUGAGGACUGGGCAGCUUGGUAAUGGCUAGAGGUUACUUGCUGCUUCAGGCAAAUGGGUAAAGUUGUUCAUUAUUUAUUUACUGUUUAUUGUUUGCUCUGCCAAAUUUGGGACAAGAAUGCUAAAAGGGAAUUUCAAAGGGAUGGUUCACAGCUAGGCUGUGAAACCAACUGACUGGAAAUGCAAUGCUGCUGCCACUCUGCUCCUGCAACCACUGGGAGAGGUUGUAGUGUCAGCCUUUCUUCUUUUUCUCACACAGCUCAGCCUUCCAGGAAGGCACUGACGGGACAUUUGUUAUUUUGGAUACAACUUUCACAUAUAACAGAGAGUAUGGACUAGGAAAGGUGGGAAGGCUUGAAAGCAUUCAUAUGCAGCACUAGCUUUUAUAUAUGCACCCAUAGCUUUAUGUGUGUAUGUGUUACUAGGGAGGUUAUAAUCUUUAUACACAUUAUUAUUCUUAUUGCUCAGGUUCUGAUUAUGAGUAAGAUGAAUUCAGUUAUACCUUUUUGUUUGCUGUGUAUGUAGGUUUCUCCCUCCAUAAGGCUGUACCUUUUCCUUUAUUUCAUGAAUCUCUCAAGCGAAAAUCCCUUUUGAUGGCCUUAGUGACUGUUUUGUGUGCAAUGCCCUAUCACUUCUUUAAUAAAGCACAAAAAAGAAUGCUAAAGAAAUGCUCGUAAGCUUUUCUUCUGCAAUGAUCCUUUGUGGUUGCAUUUGUGCUUAUAAAUUAUUAUUACUAUUUUGUUGGUUGGCUAUUUGUUGAGUUCUUUAAAACCAAAUUACAUUCACUUUUCUUUAGGCCAAUUGUACUUCUAGGACGUAUUUAAAAAGCUGUUGCCCGUGGUCAGAGACUGGGAGAACACGUUUUUCUUUCUGAUGGGGAUAGAUUUCUUUAUUACUGACAUGGUAAAAAUAGGAAGUAAAGCUUGAACUCUGAGUACUUUGUUAGUUUUUUUAAUUAUUAUUUUGAAUUUUUUUUUUCAAAUAAUUCCCUGCAGUGGAAAUCAAACAUUUCUUCUUAAAAUAACUGCUCUCUCACCGGAUGCUUCCUAUAUCCAGGACUGCUCUUUGCAAACUUAAAUAAACACUGGGCUCUUAUCACACAUGGCAUCUAUUUCAGAGCUCCUUACCACAGGGUUCCGCUGUGCCAGUGGAUGCUACAAUAAAAAAGCAGGGCUUUGCCUCCAGGCUUUCUGCUGCCCUCUGGGGAGGGAACAUGGCUCUGUGUGAGGCUCCCACACUUGGCAUUACCCAGCCGCUUAUCAGCAUCUGUAGAGCAUUUUUCUCCAAGAGCUCAUGGAGUCAUGGAAGGUUGCAAAAGACCACUGAGAUCAUCAAGUCCAACCGUCAACCCAUCCCACCAUGCCCACUGACCACGUCCUCAGUGCCGCAUCUCCGUGGUUCAGGAACACCUCCAGAGACAGUGACCCCACCGCCUCCCUGGGCAGCCUGUGCCACUGCAUUGCUGCUCUUAGAACGGGGCAACUCGC